Non-coding RNA from Mycena vulgaris, 80 nucleotides. The record is from the annotation of a GenBank genome assembly. Lineage: Eukaryota; Fungi; Basidiomycota; Agaricomycetes; Agaricales; Mycenaceae.
UCGGGUGUGGUGCACGGUGCACGGCGGCUCCAUUUGAAUGAUAGAUGCCGCAAGUCGGGGUUCAACUCCCCGCACCCGAA